GACAGAGGGGGCAAGCGUUGCUCGGAAUCACUGGGCGUAAAGGGCGCGUAGGCGGGAUGGCAAGUCAGUCGUGAAAUCUCUCGGCUCAACCGAGAAACGUCGGCUGAUACUGCCGUUCUUGAGGGAUGCAGAGGAGACUGGAAUUCCCGGUGUAGCGGUGAAAUGUGUAGAGAUCGGGAGGAACACCAGUGGCGAAGGCGACUACCUGGACCAGCACUGACACUGAGGCACGAAAGCGUGGGGAGCAAACAGG
Molecule: ribosomal RNA, 253 nt
Filed under: uncultured bacterium
Lineage: Bacteria
Description: partial 16S ribosomal RNA
Rfam family: Bacterial small subunit ribosomal RNA
Source: RNAcentral